GGACUACUGGGGUAUCUAAUCCUGUUUGCUACCCACGCUUUCGUGCCUCAGUGUCAAUAAUCGCAUAGCUAGCUGCCUUCGCAAUUGGUGUUCUAUGUCAUAUCUAAGCAUUUCACCGCUACAUGACAUAUUCCGCUAACCUCUACGACAUUCAAGAUAUAUAGUAUCAACGGCAGUUCCCAAGUUAAGCUCGGGGAUUUCACCACUGACUUACAUACCCACCUACGCACCCUUUAAACCCAGUGAAUCCGGAUAACGCUUGCACCCUCCGUAUUACCGCGGCUGCUGGCAC
Molecule: ribosomal RNA, 292 nt
Filed under: uncultured Bacteroidota bacterium
Lineage: Bacteria; Pseudomonadati; Bacteroidota
Description: uncultured Bacteroidetes bacterium partial 16S ribosomal RNA
Source: RNAcentral